Molecule: long non-coding RNA, 312 nt
Organism: Ostrea edulis (European flat oyster)
Lineage: Eukaryota; Metazoa; Mollusca; Bivalvia; Ostreida; Ostreidae
Exons: 2
Source: RefSeq, a predicted model, not a curated record
CUAAAGUGGUCAUUAUGACAAGAUGAUUAGUCACUUGACAGUGUCUUGGUAGUCAAACCGUGUAUGGACCAUCUAUAUCGUCAGUCUGGCUGUGUAGCACAUCAUCGAUAUUAAAUUAUUCGGCAAGAAAAAUAGCGUCAUGCAGCAGCCAUAUUUCCAGGGAACGACAGGCGAUGAGAGUCAAUACCUGGUCUGGUGAAAAUAGAACAUGCAUGUCCAAGGAUUCAAAUUAAAUUGGGCAAUGUGAAAUUUUACUGUUGAAUUUGUUCAUGUCCAUUUUUGUUUGACAAUAAAUUAAAAUGUUGGCCAAGU